RNAcentral lists this ribosomal RNA (561 nucleotides) under uncultured bacterium. Its description in RNAcentral is "bacterial SSU rRNA". It matches the Rfam family "Bacterial small subunit ribosomal RNA", at positions 338 to 916 of the family's 1533-position model. The record is from RNAcentral.
CCUACGGGAGGCAGCAGUGGGGAAUAUUGGACAAUGGGCGAAAGCCUGAUCCAGCAAUGCCGCGUGAGUGAUGAAGGCCUUAGGGUUGUAAAGCUCUUUUACCAGGGAUGAUAAUGACAGUACCUGGAGAAUAAGCUCCGGCUAACUCCGUGCCAGCAGCCGCGGUAAUACGGAGGGAGCUAGCGUUGUUCGGAAUUACUGGGCGUAAAGCGUACGUAGGCGGUUAUUCAAGUCAGAGGUGAAAGCCCGGGGCUCAACCCCGGAACUGCCUUUGAAACUAGAUAGCUAGAAUCUUGGAGAGGUUAGUGGAAUUCCGAGUGUAGAGGUGAAAUUCGUAGAUAUUCGGAAGAACACCAGUGGCGAAGGCGACUAACUGGACAAGUAUUGACGCUGAGGUACGAAAGCGUGGGGAGCAAACAGGAUUAGAUACCCUGGUAGUCCACGCCGUAAACGAUGAUAACUAGCUGUUCGGGCACUUGGUGCUUGAGUGGCGCAGCUAACGCAUUAAGUUAUCCGCCUGGGGAGUACGGCCGCAAGAUUAAAACUCAAAUGAAUUGACGG